Molecule: long non-coding RNA, 130 nt
Organism: Sapajus apella (tufted capuchin)
Lineage: Eukaryota; Metazoa; Chordata; Mammalia; Primates; Cebidae
Exons: 3
Source: RefSeq, a predicted model, not a curated record
UGUAAAUUUUGUGAGACCAAAAGUAUCUGAGACAGAUCUCAAUCAAUUCAGAAAGUGUAUUUUGCCAAGGUUAAGGACGUGCCCAUGACACAGCCACAGGGGGUCCUGAUGACAUAUGCCUGGGGUGGUC